RNAcentral lists this ribosomal RNA (392 nucleotides) under Alkalihalophilus pseudofirmus. RNAcentral's name for it is "bacterial SSU rRNA". It matches the Rfam family "Bacterial small subunit ribosomal RNA", at positions 1 to 381 of the family's 1533-position model. The record is from RNAcentral. Lineage: Bacteria; Bacillati; Bacillota; Bacilli; Caryophanales; Bacillaceae.
UUUUAUGGAGAGUUUGAUCCUGGCUCAGGACGAACGCUGGCGGCGUGCCUAAUACAUGCAAGUCGAGCGGACUGAUGGGAGCUUGCUCCCUGAKGUUAGCGGCGGACGGGUGAGUAACACGUGGGCAACCUGCCUGUAAGACUGGGAUAACUCCGGGAAACCGGGGCUAAUACCGGAUAACCCGUUCCACCUCAUGGUGGAGCGGUAAAAGAUGGCCUCUGGCUAUCACUUACAGAUGGGCCCGCGGCGCAUUAGCUAGUUGGUAAGGUAACGGCUUACCAAGGCGACGAUGCGUAGCCGACCUGAGAGGGUGAUCGGCCACACUGGGACUGAGACACGGCCCAGACUCCUACGGGAGGCAGCAGUAGGGAAUCUUCCGCAAUGGACGAAAG